This 470-nucleotide long non-coding RNA is filed under the name Carassius auratus (goldfish). Its description in RNAcentral is "lncRNA (ENSCARG00000059050.1)". The record is from RNAcentral. Lineage: Eukaryota; Metazoa; Chordata; Actinopteri; Cypriniformes; Cyprinidae.
AUGGUAGCGUCUGCUGUGAUAGUGGGUCUCGUUUCAUCACCUCCGGUAAAAACCGAUCUGUUUGUACGGAAUCGCGGCAGAGAUUCGGGGGCUCGGUCUUUUCUUCUAGCGCGCGAGCAGGAUUCCCAAGCCGUCAAACUGGAGCCCUUUAGAAUGACCAUGUUUAAAGGGAAACGUCGAAAUCACCGGUAUAUUAACAUGGCCGGAGAGCCGAAACCCUACAGGCCUAAAGCAGGAUCCAAACGACCCCCUGGCUGCUGUCUACAGGUGAGCAUUUCCUAUUAAAUAUAAGUAGGCACUGUAUACAUAGACUACUUCAGAUAACAUACUGCCAGUUGUAAAUGAAAUGCUUUUGCCGCUCUUACAUGCUCCCUUGUUAGGAGAGCUGAGGUAGAGCGGAUUAAAGUCUGGUUUGUGUGACAGAAUGAAGCCAUCAGCACAUUUAUCAUAUUAUCAGGUUUAGAUAAGAA